CUUCUUUUUUUGUGGGGGGGGGAGAUACGUUUCAAUCAUUUGAUUUUGAUUUUCUUUUUUUUUAACACGAAGGCUCCUCCAGAGCCGGCCGUGUUGGAAAGGAAAUCUGUCCCGGUCGCUGCAAGUCGUCCUGUCUGCCCAGUGAAUAUGCAGUUCUCUCAUAUAAAUGCGAUCAUCCUGACCAUGUCUUCUGCUGCAAACAUUCAGAAAAUUCCCCAUUCAAAGCUGAGCAAAUAGCCUGUUGGGGUACAUGCCGGAAAGCCUGCUUACCUGGUGAAUAUCUGGCUUCAAGAACAGCCUGCCUUAGCAAGGACAAUGUCUUCUGUUGUACAGAGAAAGGCACUGGAAAAUGAUAUUAUGAAAUUGUACCAGUCCCUUUGUUGAUGAUGCAUGCUUUUGUUAGCAUCUGAAAUGCAACCGAAAUGUGAAGAACAUCGUGGAAGAAGCUUUGGAACUGCUUUAAAAACCUUUAAAAAGCUGAGACUCCCAUGUCUUAUAAUUUUUUCACUUCUAAUAAAAUAAGACAUACAAAAUAUAUAAACA
Molecule: long non-coding RNA, 543 nt
Filed under: Pogona vitticeps (central bearded dragon)
Lineage: Eukaryota; Metazoa; Chordata; Lepidosauria; Squamata; Agamidae
Description: lncRNA (ENSPVIG00000006923.1)
Source: RNAcentral